Molecule: non-coding RNA, 30 nt
Filed under: Homo sapiens (human)
Lineage: Eukaryota; Metazoa; Chordata; Mammalia; Primates; Hominidae
Source: RNAcentral
UGGGAGACGGAGACUCAACUCUAGACCAGA